RNAcentral lists this transfer RNA (78 nucleotides) under Methanobacteriota archaeon. RNAcentral describes it as "Euryarchaeota archaeon tRNA-Met". It matches the Rfam family "tRNA". From Rfam's summary of the family: Transfer RNA (tRNA) molecules are approximately 80 nucleotides in length. RNAcentral also lists the same sequence under 2 other names. Lineage: Archaea; Methanobacteriati; Methanobacteriota. The record is from RNAcentral.
AGCGCUUUGGAGUAGUCAGGUCAUCUCGUCGGGCUCAUAACCCGGAGACCGGUAGUUCAAAUCUACCAGGCGCUACCA